This 209-nucleotide long non-coding RNA is filed under the name Lathyrus oleraceus (garden pea). RNAcentral's name for it is "Pisum sativum (pea) long non-coding RNA (PSAT_LNC011702)". Lineage: Eukaryota; Viridiplantae; Streptophyta; Magnoliopsida; Fabales; Fabaceae. The record is from RNAcentral.
AACAAUAUUAUCUUGAACGAAUCACCCUAUCUCUCCUCUUCGAAUAAGGAUUCAAUUCAAUUCAUACAAUGUCUAACAAUUAUAAGUGGAAAUGCGGAAGCGCGAAGAUCACUAAGGACUUUUCUGGUUGUAGCUUGGUUAGGUUUACAAACAAGGGUCAUUUCUAAGGCUCUUGAAAACGAACUUGCCGAUGCAAAAGAGACAUUCAC